RNAcentral lists this ribosomal RNA (602 nucleotides) under uncultured bacterium. RNAcentral's name for it is "bacterial SSU rRNA". It matches the Rfam family "Bacterial small subunit ribosomal RNA", at positions 338 to 951 of the family's 1533-position model. The record is from RNAcentral.
CCUACGGGAGGCAGCAGUGGGGAAUCUUGCGCAAUGGGCGAAAGCCUGACGCAGCAACGCCGCGUGCGGGAAGAAGGCUUUCGGGCUGUAAACCGCUUUCAGCAGGAACGAAAAUGACGGUACCUGCAGAAGAAGGAGCGGCCAACUAUGUGCCAGCAGCCGCGGUGAUACAUAGGCUUCAAGCGUUGUCCGGAUUUAUUGGGCGUAAAGAGUUCGUAGGCGGUCAAGUAAGUCGGGUGUGAAAAUUCUGGGCUCAACCCAGAGACGCCACCCGAUACUGCUUAACUUGAGUUCGAUAGGGGAGUGGGGGAAUUCCUAGUGUAGCGGUGAAAUGCGCAGAUAUUAGGAGGAACACCGGUGGCGAAGGCGCCACUCUGGAUCGAUACUGACGCUGAGGAACGAAAGCAUGGGUAGCAAACAGGAUUAGAUACCCUGGUAGUCCAUGCCGUAAACGGUGGGCACUAGGUGUGGGUUUCUAUUAACGAAAUCCGCGCCGUCGCUAACGCAUUAAGUGCCCCGCCUGGGGAGGUACGGUCGCGAGACUAAACUUAAAUAGAAUAGACGGCGUGAGACGUGCCGACGGACGACGACGAGGGAGUAGG